Molecule: long non-coding RNA, 198 nt
Organism: Felis catus (domestic cat)
Lineage: Eukaryota; Metazoa; Chordata; Mammalia; Carnivora; Felidae
Exons: 3
Source: RefSeq, a predicted model, not a curated record
CACCAAAUGGCAGCACAAGAUGGAGAGCUAAAGAUGAAGUCAGCAUGGUUGGCGUUCCCGCAGGAAGGUGCACGCCAAUGAAAAUUUGCAUCACCCAAUUGCAAAUUCCCAGCUGACGUUGAACAAGGGCCAGAUGUUUUGGAUAAAAUGGAUCCACAGGAAGCACUACAGGCAACCAUAAGAUUCAGGUAACAUAAU